Long non-coding RNA from Argiope bruennichi, 2086 nucleotides. RefSeq lists it as uncharacterized. Lineage: Eukaryota; Metazoa; Arthropoda; Arachnida; Araneae; Araneidae. The record is from RefSeq and is a predicted model, not a curated record. The transcript has 4 exons.
CACAUUUUUAUUAUGAUUGAGUAAACAGCAUAAAAGAUUUGCUUUUUAAUUAAGAUUUAAGUCUUCCAAGUUAAAGAUAACUUGCGGAAGAUGAAUCAAGAAAACAAUGUUUAUAUAAGAAUAGUUUAAUUUUACAUAAUUUUCUUUGUAGAGAAAAUCAUCAACAUUUUAAAGAAAAAUUUUAUGAGCAAUGAAUGAUGCGUUAUAACAACCUGAAACAGUACAAUUUGGCUAAAUCUGGCGCCAUUAAUUAGCAAAUCAAACCAUCAGUCAAUAACUUUAAUGAGAAAUCAAUCCCAAUUGAUAUACCUUUAAUCAAUCAAGUACCUGGAAGCAAAAAUACAUCAUCAACGCUGAAAAGCACACUGGGAGGAAAUGCAACGUAUGUUUAAAGUAUUUUGAAAUGAACAGAGUUUGACAUCUCACAGAAAAUGGAAGAAAAAAAAAGGGAGUGGAAACUUCGACCUAUUGUUCAAAAAAAGGAUAAAGGUUUACUUUUUGAUAUUUGUUCCUGGAACAUAACACAUCAAAAAAUAUGGCUAUCAAUAUUACAAUCAAGGCAUCAAUUUGGUGUGAUAAAAUCCAAUAAACCGUUUUGCCAAUCUUUCCCAAAUCAUCUCAACAGAAAUUCUCCAUCACUAAAGAAAAUCGUCACUGCUAAUGGUCCUUUAAUGGCUUACAACAAGAUCAAGAACUCCUUCAAAAAACUGCAUUCAGGUUUAAAAUCAAAAUGAUAUCACAUAUGAAAUUUCAACGGCAGAGAGAAGAAAAAUGAGAUUUCUGUGUAAAAAGUAAAACAGAUGUUGGCUAUUUCUCCCAUUGUUUGAAAAACGUUGCUUCAGAAUGAAUUGGAAAAGAAUGUACGCAAAUUGCUACGUUCUAACUGUGUAUAUGCAUCAUGAUAGUAUUGAAAUGGAAUUUAUUCGUGCAAAAUUAGCGUUAAAAAGCGUUAUUACAAUAAAAUUUAACCGGAAAUAAUUUCAUUUCCAAACUUUCCAUAUUUAUAAUGGAUAUAAGGGUUUGGAAAAAAUAUCUACCUAUUUUCUCUACAGAGAACAGGCAUUUGUUUUGAAAUUCCUCCUAGGAAAAAAUAAUAGUUUUCAAGGAGAAACAAGCAACGGAAUAAAAAAUAUAAAAAAAUUCGCACAAAAUAAUAAUUUAGAAUAAAAACAGAUUCGCACAAAAAAAAAUGCUUAGUGUAUUACUCUGUAAAAUAGGAGGAUCUUAAAUUAUAAUAAAGACAAUUAAAUCUCCAUUUUUUUUCAUAAAUUCAAACCCAUGCAUUUAUUAUCCGAACUUCAGUUCCGUUAACGGAUUUUUUUUUUCUUUCUUUCUUCUAUCAAAACAUCUGGAAUUCACCUCAUUAAAUCUUUCUUAUUCCAACCCUAAGAUGAUACAAAUGCCACGGAUUUCACUCAUUAAUUCCCCUUUCACCAAGCGCAGUGAAAACACUCGUAAUGACUAAGUUUGAAUCGGAGAUAAAGCAGCAACCUAAUGAAUUCAGAGCUGAUGUCAGAUGGUCGUAAAAAAAUCUGUUUGAGCUCUUUAGGUAAUUUAUAUUCAUCAACAACAGUUCAUUUAUCAAAGUUACCAAACGCUUUUAGAAUAAGCGGAAUUAUAUUCAAAAUCUAUUCUCAACGGUAGUUACCACGCAAAUCAAUAUUUUGUUAUGAAGAGAAUAGUUCCAACGUCUUUGUUUCUUAUGAUAACAUCCUUUUUUUUUUUUUUUCGAAUGCAUGAGCAUUUAUAUGUGAGAAAGAACUGUAAAAUGCAAGAUCAACAUGUUUUCAUUCUUACACAUUAAGGUGAAUGCACUGGGGUGAAGCUUUUAAAUUAUCUUAAUGCAGAAAUAAGAUGAAGACUAAUACCAAGCAUAUAAUAUAGCAGAGCACAUGAAUCACGGAAAACAAGGUAGAAACUGUUAAUUUUGGAGUGAAAUUGUAAAAUAAAGUAUACAAAAAUGUUUUCAUCAAAUGUCAAGAUUCAUUCAUAAUAUAUUAAUCUAAUUUUAAAAAUAUUUUCACCCUAAAAAGUACUCUCAUCAGUGAUACGGCAAGUUUAUUUUUUUAACAAAGGUUAAUGAAUU